RNAcentral lists this ribosomal RNA (450 nucleotides) under uncultured bacterium. RNAcentral describes it as "partial 16S ribosomal RNA". It matches the Rfam family "Bacterial small subunit ribosomal RNA", at positions 354 to 796 of the family's 1533-position model. The record is from RNAcentral.
GUGGGGAAUAUUGGACAAUGGGCGCAAGCCUGAUCCAGCCAUGCCGCGUGUGUGAAGAAGGUCUUCGGAUUGUAAAGCACUUUAAGUUGGGAGGAAGGGCAGUAAGUUAAUACCUUGCUGUUUUGACGUUACCGACAGAAUAAGCACCGGCUAACUUCGUGCCAGCAGCCGCGGUAAUACGAAGGGUGCAAGCGUUAAUCGGAAUUACUGGGCGUAAAGCGCGCGUAGGUGGUUCAGUAAGUUGGAAGUGAAAUCCCCGGGCUCAACCUGGGAACUGCUUUCAAAACUGCUGAGCUAGAGUACGGUAGAGGGUGGUGGAAUUUCCUGUGUAGCGGUGAAAUGCGUAGAUAUAGGAAGGAACACCAGUGGCGAAGGCGACCACCUGGACUGAUACUGACACUGAGGUGCGAAAGCGUGGGGAGCAAACAGGAUUAGAAACCCUUGUAGUCC